RNAcentral lists this ribosomal RNA (99 nucleotides) under Morganella morganii. The record is from RNAcentral. Lineage: Bacteria; Pseudomonadati; Pseudomonadota; Gammaproteobacteria; Enterobacterales; Morganellaceae.
GGUGGUCCCACCUGACCCCAUGCCGAACUCAGAAGUGAAACGCCGUAGCGCCGAUGGUAGUGUGGGGUCUCCCCAUGUGAGAGUAGGGAACCGCCAGGU